Molecule: ribosomal RNA, 208 nt
Filed under: uncultured bacterium
Lineage: Bacteria
Description: partial 16S ribosomal RNA
Rfam family: Bacterial small subunit ribosomal RNA
Source: RNAcentral
UGCGUAGGCGGCCUGACAAGUUGGGUGUGAAAUCCCUCGGCUCAACCGAGGAAUUGCGUCCAAAACUGUUGGGCUCGAGGGAGUUAGAGGUAAGCGGAACUUAGGGUGGAGCGGUGAAAUGCGUUGAUAUCCUAAGGAACACCAGUGGCGAAAGCGGCUUACUGGAGCUCUUCUGACGCUGAGGCACGAAAGCUAGGGGAGCGAACGG